AGUUUUCGAAAGUCGUUCACCUCCUCGUGGUGAAAACUGGAUAACGUUUAAAUAACUGAUAAACGGCAAAGAAACGACA
This 79-nucleotide ribozyme is filed under the name Cyphomyrmex costatus. Its description in RNAcentral is "HDV ribozyme from F. prausnitzii". It matches the Rfam family "HDV ribozyme from F. prausnitzii". Lineage: Eukaryota; Metazoa; Arthropoda; Insecta; Hymenoptera; Formicidae. The record is from Rfam by way of RNAcentral.